Long non-coding RNA from Mangifera indica (mango), 1524 nucleotides. RefSeq lists it as uncharacterized. The transcript is spliced from 6 exons. The record is from RefSeq and is a predicted model, not a curated record. Lineage: Eukaryota; Viridiplantae; Streptophyta; Magnoliopsida; Sapindales; Anacardiaceae.
UCUCACAAAAAAUUUAAUUUAAUUUUUCAUUUUAAAAUUUUAUGUUGUAUAUUUCUGCGUUUCUUUGGUUUCUGUGUUCUUCGCCGCAAACAGAAUGUUCUUUGGUUUCCUUAAGACAUUAAUUUAAUCUCAGUGGCAAGGAAUGUGCAAUCAAUGUUAAUCCCAAAUAAUUCAUUUGGCACACUGUUUGGAUCAUCUAGCGAUUCUCAAGUUUCCAUUAUAACACCACAGGCAAAGAGAUUGCUUUUAGAAGCGAAAACUAGCCUUCAAUUGUUCUUUCCUGUUUCCCUUCCACAUAGUUGAUAAAGAGCAAAACGUAAGCCCCGAUUGGAUGGUCGCCCUCCUUUGGAGUAUAAAUCUCUUUCUCUUGUGAGUUGGUUCCUUUUAUACUGUUUUUUUCAGUAUUAAACUUCAUAUUUGUUCCCACAAUCCUAGAUGAGACAACUACGAGCCAAGAUUGGUAUCACUGCCAAAGCAGAUGGUUCUUGCUGUGUUUGAGAUGGGCAACAUAAUAGUUUUUGCUGUAGUCUAUGCCCCUAGAGAGGUUCAAAACAGGAGCCAGCAAGUAACUGACCAAGCUCUGCAUGGCUAAUUUGAUUACCUGGAGAUCGUAUGAGAAAACUGAAGGGUGACAGGCGAUCAACAGAGAUUUCUCUUGUCAUUCGUCAGACAAUGGAAGAAUGCAUAUUGACCAAUUUAAUGCCUCAUUCUCUGAUAGAUAUUUUUGUACAAGUUCUACAAGCAGAUGGAGGUUAACUCAUACCUCAAUAUAUGACUCUGCAUUUGUAGAAUUUCCCUUCCCACCCUUUCCCACAGCAUCACUCUUUCUAUAAUAUUCUUUUCUGAUGAAAUGGGCUCGCCUUGAGCUGAGCUAAUGGAGUGGAAACUGGAAAAACUAAUUUUAGAUUUCAUUGCACUUGAUUUGUUUGUGAACUAGUUCAUAUUUCAUCCCACUUAAAGGGAUAGUGUGCUUGCUUCGUGUAUGCGUUCUUUGAGGUUACCCUUGCCGCACAAGUUAUGUUGGUGGACUUGCAGACUUCCUUUUCUUUGACUUUUUCUAUUAUUGAAAGAGAAACAUCAGCAAACAUAAAUGUUGAUCUAUGUACGUGAAAGACGUUGAAGGGACUAAUAGGAAGUACAAGUUUACAUAUAUUCGACAAGUUCUAAACAAGAGUAUAUCUUUCAAAUGUCUUACACUGUCUUACUGUACCCUGUGUCUUUGAGUCUUUGAAGUUCUUUGUCCUUGGGUCAUCAGUUUUAACUGAAUUAAUCUAAACUUGAUUAGUCUUGUGGUGGCUUUGGCUAUGUGAACAACAUUGUUUCUGGUAUGGACCUAGGUUUGCUAAAGGUUGCUCUGGUUCUGAAAGAUCUGGUUAGGUGCUGCUUUAGAUGAACUGGUUUGUAAGAUUGGAUAUGAGUCUGUAGAGAAGCUGUGAUGUAAUAAGUGUAAAUCCAUCAGUCAACAAUGAACUGAAAUACUACUUGUAAUACCAAAUGAGUCCCAAAACAAUAUUGUUUGAUCAA